GCAUAUCAAUAAGCGGAGGAAAAGAAACUAACAAGGAUUCCCCUAGUAACGGCGAGUGAAGCGGGAAGAGCUCAAAUUUGAAAUCUGGUGGCCUUAGGUCAUCCGAGUUGUAAUCUAUAGAAGUGUUUUCCGUGCUGGCUCAUGUACAAGUCCCUUGGAACAGGGCGUCAUAGGGGGUGAGAAUCCCGUCCUUGACAUGAACUACCAGUGCUCUGUGAUACAUUUUCAACGAGUCGAGUUGUUUGGGAAUGCAGCUCAAAAUGGGUGGUAAAUUCCAUCUAAAGCUAAAUAUUGGCGAGAGACCGAUAGCGAACAAGUACCGUGAGGGAAAGAUGAAAAGCACUUUGGAAAGAGAGUUAAACAGUAUGUGAAAUUGUUGAAAGGGAAACGAUUGAAGUCAGUCGUGCUCUUUGGAUUCAGCCGGUUCUGCCGGUGUACUUCCUUUGAGUGGGGUCAACAUCAGUUUUGAUCGCUGGAUAAAGGCGGGAGGAAUGUAGUACCCUCGGGUAAACUUAUAGCCUCUUGUCACAUACAGUGGUUGGGACUGAGGAACGCAGUAUGCCUUUAAGGCCGGGAUUCGUCCACGUACAUGCUUAGGAUGUUGACAUAAUGGCUUUAAACGACCCGUCUUGAAACACGGACC
Molecule: ribosomal RNA, 643 nt
Filed under: uncultured fungus
Lineage: Eukaryota; Fungi
Description: eukaryotic LSU rRNA
Rfam family: Eukaryotic large subunit ribosomal RNA
Source: RNAcentral